Molecule: long non-coding RNA, 1086 nt
Organism: Rosa rugosa (rugosa rose)
Lineage: Eukaryota; Viridiplantae; Streptophyta; Magnoliopsida; Rosales; Rosaceae
Exons: 3
Source: RefSeq, a predicted model, not a curated record
AGUUUGGCAUUGCUUCCUAGGGUGCUUCUGGGGCUGCUUCUGCUUUUGGGCCAAGAGCAUGGUGUUUGGUAAAAUAUCUGAAAGCAGCUUUUGGUUGAAAUGGCUUCUCCGUAAGGCCGAAAUUGAGAAGCUACAAUUUGUAGCUUUUAGGAAUUGCUUUGGGAAAACACGGAGGAAGAACAGUGCAUAACUUAAUGAAAUUUUAACUUCCUGCCAAUUCUGUCCUCCUCCUUUUCUGAAAAUUACAUCGAAACAAAAGAUUCGCGAGGCAGUCACUCUCUUUGCCGUCAUUAUCAUUAUCAUUCCACAUCUCCUCCUUCCUCUUCUUCAAUUCGUGGAUUCUCGCCGGCUAGCUUCCUUCCUCUGAAGAUAGAAUCAAACGGAAUCCAUUGUCACGCCAUCGCCAUCGCCAUCGCCUCUCUUCAGUCUGGGUUCAAAUUUCAAAACCGACGAAGUCGCCAUCGCCAUUGUCCUCUCUGGCUCUCUCCCUCUCCAGGCUCCAGCACGGUCACACAUCAACUGAGCAAUUUGCUCUCUUCGACUCUUUGGUCUCUUCCUGAAGCCGUCAAGCAACAAAGCAGAUUCUGGGUUCGACUCUUCUCUCUCAGUCAGUCGCUGAUUCUUCAAGGCUCAAGCUCGGAUAAUAGAGCACCCAAGAAGGCAAAAACCACACAUGAAGUUCAACCAAUGCAAGCCUCUGCAUCCCAACCAUUUUAUGCAUCACCACCCAAGCCAACACAACCAUCUUUUGUGCAGCUAUGAACUGUAAACUAGUUCAUUCAUCUCACAACUGCGAUAAAGAUGAAGACCAAGUCCCCUGCAAAGAGGAAGAGAGCUCCAGCAGAGAAGUAACUGAGUCCCCUGCUAAGAUUUUGGGUGUAAUUUCAGAUAUUUCAAAGCAUUGGGCUUUUGUUCACUUUAUAACAAAUCAUUUGUAUCGGAACUUGGUAACUGAUCCAAGUGUUUGAAACUCUGUAAAUGAUGCAAUUGUUUGGUAGUUUGUAACUAAUCAGUUGUUUUUGGAACUUGAUAAGUGAUCCAAGUUUGGUAGUUUGUAACUCAUCAGUUGUUUUUUGAACUUGUUAA